RNAcentral lists this ribosomal RNA (250 nucleotides) under uncultured bacterium. RNAcentral describes it as "partial 16S ribosomal RNA". It matches the Rfam family "Bacterial small subunit ribosomal RNA", at positions 355 to 596 of the family's 1533-position model. The record is from RNAcentral.
UGGGGAAUAUUGGACAAUGGGCGCAAGCCUGAUCCAGCCAUGCCGCGUGUGUGAAGAAGGCCUUUUGGUUGUAAAGCACUUUAAGCGAGGAGGAGGCUACUUGGAUUAAUACUCUAGGAUAGUGGACGUUACUCGCAGAAUAAGCACCGGCUAACUCUGUGCCAGCAGCCGCGGUAAUACAGAGGGUGCGAGCGUUAAUCGGAUUUACUGGGCGUAAAGCGUGCGUAGGCGGCUUUUUAAGUCGGAUGUG